UAUAAAUUAGGGUGGCAGGACACAAA
This 26-nucleotide non-coding RNA is filed under the name Rattus norvegicus (Norway rat). Lineage: Eukaryota; Metazoa; Chordata; Mammalia; Rodentia; Muridae. The record is from RNAcentral.